AAAUAAAAAAAAUAUAUAUAUAUAUAUAUAUAAAGAAUGGUCAAUUUAUCAUGGUAUAGUACAGGAAUGAGUAUAGAAGGAUCUUGAAUGUUGGCUUGUUUGAUGAGACCCAACGAUGAAAGCCUGGUGGGUAUAGUUGUGGAACUUAGGUAUGGAAUCUAGAAUGUUGUGUAAGCUUUCAGAGAAGUACAUUUUGGUUAGGAUUUGGUUAGACUUGUUAGGCAUAUGGACUUAGUUUGAAUGAUCAUGGCAAUAGGCUAGAGAAUGUUGGGAGUUCCUUUGUUUUCAAAACCUCUUCCACGGGUUCGGCUUUUGUGUUUUGCUUGAGGGCAAGCAAAAGCUAAGUCUGGGGGAGUUGAUAUAACCCGAUUUUCACCGAUUUUAUCUAUGUUUUAUGUAUAGGAUUUUGAGUCUUUAUGUUAUUUCUCGAAUCUUUUUAGUGUCUUUUCAGGUAUUCUAUGCAAUGGGACAACAAUGGAGAUAAGGAGACAUUUUGGAGCAAAAGCUAAGGAAAAGGAAGCUAAGGACGAUUUUUGUUCAGGAAUCAGCGAGGAGUGUCGACCGAUACACUCUUGGUGUCGAUCGACACAAGUUUCGGCCCAUCAAAAACCCUAGAUGCUUUCGAGUUUCCAGAAGCUCAAGUUUGCCGCAGAAGACUUCUCUAUUUGCAUUAUUAGUCUCUGGACGUUUUUAGGGUCUAUAUAUAUUGUUUUUAGACCUAAGUUUCGUU
RNAcentral lists this small RNA (730 nucleotides) under Arabidopsis thaliana (thale cress). Its description in RNAcentral is "ATSL091240". The record is from RNAcentral. Lineage: Eukaryota; Viridiplantae; Streptophyta; Magnoliopsida; Brassicales; Brassicaceae.